ACACUCCUACGGGAGGCAGCAGUGGGGAAUUUUGGACAAUGGGCGAAAGCCUGAUCCAGCAAUGCCGCGUGAGUGAAGAAGGCCUUCGGGUUGUAAAGCUCUUUUGUCAGGGAAGAAACGGUGAGAGCUAAUAUCUUUUGCUAAUGACGGUACCUGAAGAAUAAGCACCGGCUAACUACGUGCCAGCAGCCGCGGCAAUACGUAGGGUGCAAGCGUUAAUCGGAAUUACUGGGCGUAAAGCGUGCGCAGGCGGUUUUGUAAGUCUGAUGUGAAAUCCCCGGGCUCAACCUGGGAAUUGCAUUGGAGACUGCAAGGCUAGAAACUGGCAUAGGGGGGUAGAAUUCCACGUGUAGCAGUGAAAGGCGUAUAUAUGUGGAGGAACACCGAUGGCGAAGGCAGCCCCCUGGGUCAAGAUUGACGCUCAUGCACGAAAGCGUGGGGAGCAAACAGGAUUAGAUACCCCUGUAGUCCCAUGAU
Molecule: ribosomal RNA, 477 nt
Filed under: uncultured organism
Description: partial 16S ribosomal RNA
Rfam family: Bacterial small subunit ribosomal RNA
Source: RNAcentral